This is a non-coding RNA of Corylus avellana, 206 nucleotides long. The record is from RefSeq and is a predicted model, not a curated record. NCBI's taxonomy places the organism in Eukaryota, Viridiplantae, Streptophyta, Magnoliopsida, Fagales, Betulaceae.
GCUGGGACUUGUUCAUUUGUCAACGUCAUUUACAAAAAGGAACAAGAAACAAAAGUGAAGCCUAAUCCUGUUGAACUAUAUGAGGUUACCCAUACAAGAAAAAAGGAUAAACAGUUUGUGAACGACAAAUGCAAAAGUCUAUAUCUUCAAAUGCAAGAAUUAACAACCAGUGAGGCCUUAGAGGAAGGCAAUGUGGAGGGAACAAG